RNAcentral lists this ribosomal RNA (501 nucleotides) under uncultured bacterium. RNAcentral describes it as "bacterial SSU rRNA". It matches the Rfam family "Bacterial small subunit ribosomal RNA", at positions 384 to 884 of the family's 1533-position model. The record is from RNAcentral.
UGAUCCAGCCAUGCCGCGUGCAGGAUGACUGCCCUAUGGGUUGUAAACUGCUUUUAUAUAGGAAGAAACCCCCGAACGUGUUCGGGGCUGACGGUACUAUAAGAAUAAGGACCGGCUAACUCCGUGCCAGCAGCCGCGGUAAUACGGAGGGUCCAAGCGUUAUCCGGAUUUAUUGGGUUUAAAGGGUACGUAGGCGGAGUUUUAAGUCAGUAGUGAAAGCCCAUCGCUUAACGAUGGAACUGCUAUUGAUACUGAUACUCUUGAAUAUAGUUGAAGUGGGCGGAAUACUGGCAUGUAGCGGUGAAAUGCAUAGAUAUGCCGUGGAACACCAAUCGCGAAGGCAGCUCACUAAGCUAUUAUUGACGCUAAUGUACGAAAGCGUGGGUAGCGAACAGGAUUAGAUACCCUGGUAGUCCACGCCGUAAACGAUGAUUACUCGGUGCUGGCGAUAUACAGUCAGUGCCUAAGCGAAAGUGAUAAGUAAUCCACCUGGGGAGUACG